This is a long non-coding RNA of Daucus carota subsp. sativus, 469 nucleotides long. RefSeq lists it as uncharacterized. The record is from RefSeq and is a predicted model, not a curated record. Lineage: Eukaryota; Viridiplantae; Streptophyta; Magnoliopsida; Apiales; Apiaceae. The transcript is spliced from 3 exons.
AUCAAAGAAUUGGAAUUUGUGUAUGAAAAAUGCAAAAACAACUUGAAGCUGGCAAAUGACCUCUUCCCAAACAACCAUAACCUGAAGCUGUAUGAAGACAAAUUUGCGAAAAUGUAUCAACCACAAAGUCAGGAAGAAGAAGAACAACAAAGAUUUGAAAGAGAAGGUGACACUGAAUAUAAUCCAGGAAGACUGAGGAGAGAGGUAAAGGUCGGAGACUCCAAAAAAUCACCAUUUCUUGAUCGCACAAUUGACUUCAACAAGCAAAAGAUUACAAAGGCAGAGGAGGAGGUGUGGAAUUGGAUCACAGCAGAUACAUCAGAUGCAACCCAAAUUAUUUUCUUCUGGGAGGAUGUAAUUUGCAUGAGCUACCAGAUUAAAACUUUUCAAUUCAAUGAAAAAAUAUCAACUGCUGUCAUUGAUGUAUAUGCGACCAUCCUGAAUGAAGAUGAAAAAUACAGAUCCCCAG